Lates calcarifer (barramundi perch) is the source of this 730-nucleotide long non-coding RNA. RefSeq lists it as uncharacterized. Lineage: Eukaryota; Metazoa; Chordata; Actinopteri; Centropomidae. The transcript is spliced from 4 exons. The record is from RefSeq and is a predicted model, not a curated record.
AUAUUUGAAGAGCUGCUCAAACAAACACCCUGCCUUUACACACAUUUAUGGACCACACAUUUCCAGUACUAACAUUAAGAGACUGUCCUAUAGAAAUUAGAGAAAAACAUCGUAUAUUUAAAAACUCUAAUUUUUGUUCCCCAAGUAUGGAACAAAACUGAGUUUAUUUCUCUGCCUGUGAUAUUCUCAUAUUUCAGUACAUCUGCGUCUCUUUCGCACGCUCUCUCUCCGCUCCCUGUCUCCUCACACACGCAUGCGUCAAUCGGCAGCUUGUAACAAGAAGAUUUCCAGCAUAUCUUUCUGUGGAAAUCCUGAAAUUAUCGUUUAAAAAAUUUUCUUUUCGGGAGAAAAAUCCUCCUCACCCCGACCCAGAGAACAGUGUAGCCCACAGCUGAGGACGCCCCCGACUUUUUUUUUUUUCAGUACAAGCGCCGAUCGGAUCCCUGCAAAAAGAAAAAAGCUCCUGAAAUCCUCCCAGUCGGCAGAGUAUGAUGUUCAUCUGCAACAACGAGCAGCCAGGAACACUUCAAGAAAGACCUUGAGAAUACACCUCACUUUCUGAUGUCCAAGCAUCCACCAGUCAUCUCUAGGUCACUACCAGUGCCACCACUGAGUCUGGGACCUGAACUUCAAGAAGUGGUGCAAAGCUCCCAUGAGUCAGACUUUUGCAUCCUGAAUUAUGAAGGUGGACAAAACAGCUGCUUGUGAAAUCUGACCUAAUGUAACAGAA